RNAcentral lists this ribosomal RNA (254 nucleotides) under uncultured bacterium. RNAcentral's name for it is "partial 16S ribosomal RNA". It matches the Rfam family "Bacterial small subunit ribosomal RNA", at positions 524 to 776 of the family's 1533-position model. The record is from RNAcentral.
UACGGAGGGGGCAAGCGUUAUCCGGAAUCAUUGGGCGUAAAGCGCGUGUAGGCGGUUCCGUAAGUCCGCUCUGAAAGCCCAGGGCUCAACCCUGGGAGGCGGGUGGAUACUACGGAACUGGGAGUACGGAAGAGGAGAUUGGAAUUCCUGGUGUAGCGGUGAAAUGCGCAGAUAUCAGGAGGAACACCGAUGGCGAAGGCAGGUCUCUGGGCCACUACUGACGCUGAGAAGCGAAAGCAUGGGGAGCGAACAGG